GACGAACGCUGGCGGCGUGCUUAACACAUGCAAGUCGAACGGAAAGGCCCUGCUUGCAGGGUACUCGAGUGGCGAACGGGUGAGUAACACGUGGGUGAUCUGCCCUGCACUUCGGGAUAAGCUUGGGAACCUGGGUCUAAUACCGGAUAGGAGCCAUCUUUAGUGUGGUGGUUGGAAAGUUUUUUCGGUGUAGGAUGAGCUCGCGGCCUAUCAGCUUGUUGGUGGGGUAAUGGCCUACCAAGGCGGCGACGGGUAGCCGGCCUGAGAGGGUGUACGGCCACAUUGGGACUGAGAUACGGCCCAGACUCCUACGGGAGGCAGCAGUGGGGAAUAUUGCACAAUGGGCGCAAGCCUGAUGCAGCGACGCCGCGUGGGGGAUGAAGGCCUUCGGGUUGUAAACUCCUUUCGCUAGGGACGAAGCUUUGUUGUGACGGUACCUAGAGAAGAAGCACCGGCUAACUACGUG
Molecule: ribosomal RNA, 466 nt
Filed under: uncultured bacterium
Lineage: Bacteria
Description: partial 16S ribosomal RNA
Rfam family: Bacterial small subunit ribosomal RNA
Source: RNAcentral